RNAcentral lists this ribosomal RNA (497 nucleotides) under uncultured bacterium. Its description in RNAcentral is "partial 16S ribosomal RNA". It matches the Rfam family "Bacterial small subunit ribosomal RNA", at positions 28 to 507 of the family's 1533-position model. The record is from RNAcentral.
GAUGAACGCUGGCGGCGUGCCUAAUACAUGCAAGUCGAGCGAACAGACGAGGAGCUUGCUCCUCUGACGUUAGCGGCGGACGGGUGAGUAACACGUGGAUAACCUACCUAUAAGACUGGGAUAACUUCGGGAAACCGGAGCUAAUACCGGAUAAUAUAUUGAACCGCAUGGUUCAAUAGUGAAAGACGGUUUUGCUGUCACUUAUAGAUGGAUCCGCGCCGCAUUAGCUAGUUGGUAAGGUAACAGCUUACCAAGGCAACGAUGCGUAGCCGACCUGAGAGGGUGAUCGGCCACACGGGAACUGAGACACGGUCCAGACUCCUACGGGAGGCAGCAGUAGGGAAUCUUCCGCAAUGGGCGAAAGCCUGACGGAGCAACGCCGCGUGAGUGAUGAAGGUCUUCGGAUCGUAAAACUCUGUUAUUAGGGAAGAACAAAUGUGCAAGUAACUAUGCACGUCUUGACGGUACCUAAUCAGAAAGCCACGGCUAACUACGUG